Molecule: long non-coding RNA, 3013 nt
Organism: Herpailurus yagouaroundi (jaguarundi)
Lineage: Eukaryota; Metazoa; Chordata; Mammalia; Carnivora; Felidae
Exons: 2
Source: RefSeq, a predicted model, not a curated record
AGGAGAGCUACACUUACUGUUUGUGGUGUUUGCUAUCCCUCCGAGGCCACGGUCAGCUUCUACCAGGGCAAGUGAGCGGUGGAGCGACAGUCUGAGGACAGAGCCCUUCCCGAGGGAGGGCAGGCGGGGCUGUGCCAGCAGCCUCGGAAUGACCACGCAAAGGCUCGCUGGACAGCACGACGCCUGCGACAGCAUUUCCCUCUAGUGACUAACAUCCAACACUGUGCUGCUCAGAGGAUAUCGAGAAUUUGGCAACAGUCCUUUGCGUUAACUUUCCUCAAAACAGGCUUAUCUUUAAUUCCUGGAAACCAGGUAGUUCUGGAAGAUGGGCACGAUACACGCUGUGGUUUUUAUGUCAAGAUAAGAAUUUCAAAGGCGUCAGACGCGCAGACCUGAGUGCGAGUGAGGCCCAGGAAGCAAGGGAGGCGGGCUGUCCACGCGGUUCCUUACCGACCGGGGCAUACAGGGUCACUGUGCCACUCCGGUCCCCACAGUGGUCCUACUUCCUGACUGCCGGAGCGGACGUGUCCUUGUGCCCCGCGCGGUGUGCGAGGCGCCCGGGUCCCCGGAGGCCAGUGUUGGCACGGGAGGGCGAGACUUCACAGGCCACGGGCACAGCACCAGUCGUUCUGACGCUGAGGGAUCCGGAGGUGUUGGGGCGGCUUUCGUUUUGUUUCUGCUUCACAUUGGUGACAAAGGGGUGAAGCUGACAUUCAUAAAGACCGAAUCACACCCCCCCCAACCCCCCCCACCCCCCAGCAAAACGAGCUCUCCCUCAGAUUCAGAGCAAAGCCCUGGCAGGAAGGCCCUUCGAGCUCAGCCGCCACGCCUCAGCCUUGUUGUGCUCGGAUUCGUAAACCAGUUUUCUAGAGAUUUUCAAAGUUAGUGUUAUUUGCUCAUUAGUUUUAAGUUUUUGGAAAGAGGAUAACCAUAUUUAAAAUAAUUUUUCCAGCAUCUCCUUCAGAUCGUAGAAUUUGAAAAUAUCAAAAGUGACUUAAAACUCACAAGAUUUUACUACCGUCAAGUACAAAAAUAAGUUAAUCUCCCCAAAGUGCGCUGCAAAGCCAGUCUGGUGGUCUGACUUCUGGUGGGAGAGGAGAAGCGAGGGGCGGCCCUGAAGAGCGGAGCCCGGAGGCCUCGGGAAUCCCGCAGGCCCUGAGCCGGGGCGCCAGGGCAUGGGAACGCUGCUGGGCUCGUCGUGGAACAACCUUCCAGGUUGUUUGGGGAAGAAGGAGCAUAAAUCUAUAAACCAAUCCAGUAUUUUCUUGGGACGAUUUGAGAGAAACGAGUUCUACGCGGAAACACCCCACAGUUCCCCGGGUCCCACUGAGCAAGUGCAUUUCCAGAGGUCACCUAAGCCACACGCAGGAGGGGUCCACGGAUGACCAAGCUCUCGUGUCUCCUUCGUGGCCGCGGAUGGCUCCUUCCUCCAGGAUCACGAUAGGAGAAGGGCAGAGGGACGCCUGGGUGAGACCCUGUUCAUAGCGAGCGAGGCCCCGUCGGCGCCAUGGAGCCUCACACCCGAAGCAGACUCUUCCCCGUGGUCCGAGCCCGGCAGAGACCGCUGCCCCCAAGGGCUCACGUCACCAAACCACGGAGAAGAAGUUAAACGGGGGGGUCCGGGUCCAAGCAUGUCCUGCAGUUGCACGAGGCAGAGGCAAUGAUGGGAGAGAAACAGACAGGAGAGACCUCGGGAGUUUUCAACAAGGGACGUGUGUACGUCUCUGUUCUCCUCCGGUGGUUUUAAGAAGAACGGAGCAGAAACAAGCAUCUGCUGCCGAGUAUUCCAUUCCCUUCCCUCCCAUCGUCGGCACGGAGGCCGCGGGCCCCACGGGGCGCACUUGGCUGCCUGGCAUCCGGGACCCCUGCCCUUGGUGCUCCGGACUCCCCAGGGUCAAGAGAAACUUCCAAAGAGAAGAGACCUUCGUGCUCCCAGGAGCUCCUCCCAUGGUGUGGCCAGGCCUCGUAAGGAGUAAAAGUUAGUGACGUCUCACAGAGAAGUUCCAGGCCCGACGCCCACAGAUGGCGCCUCGGGCCCCCAGCACGAGUGCCUGGCGGUGGCGUCCUGGCUGGGCGCGUGUGACCAGCACAACUCCCGUUUUCUGUGAACAGACCCCCAGGGGUGACAGGAGAGUAGCAAGUAGGUGCAACGGUCCCAGACUCUGCGUCUCUCCUCAGACCCCGAAAGAACAAUUUUCGGGAAAAGCCCGAUCUCCCACGUGCUCUGGGUCCCCAGGGUGGGGAGCACCUGGCCGUGCCCUGCUGCCGGGACUGUCCCCUGCCGGGCCGCGGGCGCACGAAGCCCCGACAGAACCAUUUCUGUGAACUCGGCGCUUCACACAAACUCACCGCGGGGCCGCACCCCCACCGAGUUGGCCCCUUUCCCUGGGAGAAUUCAGGGCCGCAUCAGUAAAUACACGUUUCAGUCGGUGGUAAUUUGUGAAAACAAGUUUAGCAAAAAUCUAUUGAGAAUAAAAGCCAGAAACUGGUAAAGAAAAGCCCAAUGAAAAAAAUAUACAAAGUCUUCCCCCAAAUGUUGGUAAGAACCUAGUGCGUUCAGGGACAGGCCCAGGUGAGAUGCGCCAGACCUGGCCUGGGCCGGGGAGGCCGCUCCGAGAGGCCCCGCGCUUGCAAGGCCCACGGGGUGGCACCAUUCAGUCCAAAUCCACGACAGAAAAAACUACGGGACAGCUUACAACACUGUCACUAUCACCACUCCUGGGGCCGGCUCCUCACUAGGAUGGAAAAGAAGCAUUUUGAGGAAAAAUUUCACAUUAGUACAAAAAAACCCCAAAAUCAUACAGCUGUUUCAGAAGAGCAAAAUAAUGAUCAAAAUCAUGGUUUCCAAGGAAUCCAGGGUCUGAGUCCUUGCCCGGGCCCCGCCCUGGUCUCUACUGAGUGACGAAGGCAGGUGAGCUGGCCAAGUGACUUGGUUAAGAUGAAAGAGAUCAUAGUGAGCCUUUAGAAAAAUACUACCCUCUACAUUUCAGGUGAGAUAAAAACAUUUCAUAUG